Molecule: unclassified non-coding RNA, 321 nt
Filed under: uncultured Ascomycota
Lineage: Eukaryota; Fungi; Ascomycota
Description: sequence contains ITS1
Rfam family: 5.8S ribosomal RNA (bases 1-106)
Source: RNAcentral
GAAAUGCGAUAAGUAAUGCGAAUUGCAGAAUUUCCGUGAGUCAUCGAAUCUUUGAACGCACAUUGCGCCCAUUGGUAUUCCGAUGGGCAUGCCUGUUCGAGCGUCAUUAUCCUCCCUCAAACCUCGCGUUUGGUGUUGGGCCCCACGGGGAGCUUCUCGGGCUCCCCUGGCCCCAAAGACAAUGACGGCGUCCGUUGGGACCCCCGGUGCAACGAGCUUCUUCGGAGCACGCGCUGUGGGCUGUCCCCUUCGAGCUGGUCUCAACCACUUUUAUUUUACCAGGUUGACCUCGGAUCAGGUAGGAAUACCCGCUGAACUUAA